Molecule: long non-coding RNA, 1280 nt
Organism: Mirounga angustirostris (Northern elephant seal)
Lineage: Eukaryota; Metazoa; Chordata; Mammalia; Carnivora; Phocidae
Exons: 3
Source: RefSeq, a predicted model, not a curated record
UCGGGUAGCAACCAACCAAAUGGAAGAAAUGUCUGCUUCUGUCCCAGAGGCCGAGGGGUCACCGGGCCCCCACUUCUCCAUGCACACCCUCCCCUGCAUAGGGGUAAGGGUGCUUCACAUGCAACCAACCUUAUACCUGCCUGUUUGAGUCACCCAGAGCUCAGAGUUGGCUUAAUAAGGAGGUGCCCUGGCGCCAUCCGCAUUUUGUCUCCUGAGACUAAGGCUCAGCCAUAUAACCUUUACCCGUGCCAGCUACUCAUACUGAGCCCCAGUAACUCCUGGCCAGAUAGGGCUAUCCUCAGCACAGGGUCACACAGAGCAAGGCUUUCCUGGGACAGGCGGGCCUGGGAUCCCAGCCGGGCUGCCAGAGGGAAAGGAGCCCCAGGCUUGGCCAUUGUCAUCUCUCCCUGGAAAACUGUGCCAGCCCCGAGUGGUUUAUUCAACAAAUAGUUAUAAAUCUUCGCCGAUGUGCUAGGAACUAACGGUUUUGCAGGAGCUAACAAUUUAGAGAGACACAGCAAGAGAGGAAACACAAGCACAGGGAGAGGGAGAAGCAGGCUUCCCGCCGAGCAGGGAGCCCGAUGCGGGACUCGAUCCCGGGACUCGAUCCCGGGACUCCAGGAUCAUGACCUGAGCCGAAGGCAGACGCUCAACGACUGAGCCACCCAGGCGCCCCAAAACCGGGUAGAUGAAAGCACUCCAGCACACAGGUGAACUCGGCUCGCGCACCAGCAAACGUGGACGCCCCGUCCGCUUCGGCUUUCUUCGGGUCACUGGCGCCCUCUCCCGGAAAGAUCCAGAAGUGCGCCGGCGCGGGCGAGAAACGCAGCCAGGGGCCUGCGGGCGGCGAAAGCUGGUGCCUUGGCGGCCUCUCGCGGACCAUCUGGGAACUGCAGCUGGAGCUGCGCGUGCGCUGGAAGAGCAUUUCUGUGUCUCGUAUGUGGAUGUGUGUCUGCCUCCUUGUACACAGCGGGCGACCAAUCUAGAAAUCUCCGCCCUCAGCCCUUGCUCUUAUCAGGGCAUUAGCUACCCUUUCCCCCACUAUCUCAUCCUCUUUGUUCUUCCUUGCUGUGUGACAGCGCCCUCUGAGACCUCAUUACCUCAUCCAUAAGAGCAGAUCUUGAGGGCGCCUGGGUGGCUCAGUUGGUUAAACGUCUGUCUUUGGCUCAGAUCAUGAUCCCAGGGUCCUGGGUUCCAGUCCCACAUCGGGCUCUUCGCUCCCCCUGCUUGUGUUCUCUUUCUCUGGCAAAUAAAUAAAAUCUUUAAAAAAAGAAAAACAA